ACUAGCCUAGGAUUAAUAUCAGCCCAUUUUUUGGAGGAGAACCAACAAGACUGGCUAUUUGACUGGAUCCCCCAAUUGGUUUACUCCAAGAUUCCUCUUCAUUGGCUUAAGAAGAUACAAGACAGGAGUCUCCAAUCCUUAGACCAUGGACCAAUAUCAACCAUGGCCAGUUAGCAACCCGGUAACAAAGCAGGAGGAAUAUGUUUAAUACUGUUCAAAAGAAGAGAAGGAAAGAAAAGCAAAAAGAACAGAGGAAAAGAAACCCAGAGGCAAGGAAUAAAAAAGUCCUAUACAAAAAGACUCCACCACAAAGAAGAUUGAGAGGCACAAGGAAAAUCAGCCCUGAGAAGUAAAUACUGUUGCUGUCAUCCCUAUUUUACAAAUGAGGAAACAAAAAUAGAGAAAUGAAGCAAUUUGUCCAAGAUCACUCUGCUGGCAAGCAACAGAACCAGGAGUUUAACCCAGGUAAAUGUGCUGUUAACCCCAUAGCAUAGACACCUCUGGACUUCUGAAACAGAAUCCUGUGACCACCGUGGAUGAAACAUAGACUCUCAUUAAGCUGCAGUUCCAAUGCCUGAGUAGCGUGAAUUGCUUCUAUGAUAAGGCAUUAUUUAGCCUUUGCCUGAAACAGCCCUAAUGAGAAGGAUCUCGCCACCUCAUGGCAUGGUCCAGUUCAUUUUCAGAAGCUUUCUUUGUAAUCUGUGCUUAUAAAAUUGUUAACAGGGGAUAGCUAAUAAAAUGGCCUCCUAAAAACUCUA
Molecule: long non-coding RNA, 758 nt
Filed under: Homo sapiens (human)
Lineage: Eukaryota; Metazoa; Chordata; Mammalia; Primates; Hominidae
Description: HSALNT0356783
Source: RNAcentral